Molecule: ribosomal RNA, 471 nt
Filed under: uncultured soil bacterium
Lineage: Bacteria
Description: bacterial SSU rRNA
Rfam family: Bacterial small subunit ribosomal RNA
Source: RNAcentral
AGGACGAACGCUGGCGGCGUGCUUAACACAUGCAAGUCGAGCGGUAAGGCCUUUCGGGGUACACGAGCGGCGAACGGGUGAGUAACACGUGGGUGAUCUGCCCUGCACUUCGGGGUAAGCCUGGGAAACUGGGUCUAAUACCGGAUAUGACCUCCUAUCGCAUGGUGGGUGGUGGAAAGAUUUAUCGGUGCAGGAUGGGCCCGCGGCCUAUCAGCUUGUUGGUGGGGUAAUGGCCUACCAAGGCGACGACGGGUAGCCGACCUGAGAGGGUGACCGGCCACACUGGGACUGAGACACGGCCCAGACUCCUACGGGAGGCAGCAGUGGGGAAUAUUGCACAAUGGGCGAAAGCCUGAUGCAGCGACGCGCGUGAGGGAUGACGGCCUUCGGUUGUAACCUCUUUCAGCAGGACGAAGCGCAAGUGACGGUACCUGCAGAAGAAGCACCGGCUAACUACGUGCCAGCAGCCGC